RNAcentral lists this ribosomal RNA (1653 nucleotides) under Triticum aestivum (bread wheat). Its description in RNAcentral is "partial small subunit ribosomal RNA". The record is from RNAcentral. Lineage: Eukaryota; Viridiplantae; Streptophyta; Magnoliopsida; Poales; Poaceae.
AUGGCAGUCUCCAAGCUCGCCGCCGUGUCUCUACUGCUGCUUUCAGCAGCCACGCUCGCAGCCGUGCUGCUCCUCCGUUCCUCCGGCGCAGACGACGGCGGCGCCCCGUGGGGCGCGGGCAGCGGCGGCAUCCUGACCACCGCCCUGCCGUUCAGCCCCGCGGACGUCCUGCCCCUCCUGCCGCGGCGCGUGGCCAUGGCGGCCCUCCGCGCGCUCCACGGCGCGUCGGACAUCUUCCCGGUGUUCGUGGGCGCGGCGACGGCGGGGCCGGCGCAGGCGGGCACCGCGCCCGUGGGCUGGAAGGGCGCCUGCUUCUACGAGAACGAGGCCUGGCUGGUCUUCCACAACGACUCCGGCUCCAAGUACGGCGGCGGCACGGUCCACCUCAAGACAACGAAAGCACAUAGCUGGACUUGCAUGGAUCUGUAUGUGUUUGCAACUCCAUACCGUGUUACAUGGGAUUACUACUUUCUAGGCCGUGAGCAUACCCUUGAAAUCAAAGAAUGGGAAAGCAAGGCGGAAUAUGACUAUGUGAAACAUAAUGGAGUGUCCAUCUUCCUCAUGCCGUCAGGAACAAUCGGGACACUCAGAGCACUCUGGGAUGUUUUCCCUCUUUUCACAAAUACUGGAUGGGGCGAGAAUGCAAACCUUGCAUUUCUCAAAAAGCAUAUGGGUGCGACCUUUGAGGAACGGCCAAAACCAUGGGUUUCAGAAUUAAAUCCGGAUGACAUCCAAUCUGGAGAUUUUUUGGUUUUAUCAAAAAUCCGUGGACGCUGGGGUGGUUUUGAAACCCUUGAGAAGUGGGUUACCGGAGCUUAUGCAGGCCAUACUGCAGUUUGCCUGAGGGACUCUGAAGGAAAGCUGUGGGUUGGAGAAUCUGGUCAUGAAAAUGAGGAGGGAGAGGAUAUUAUUGCUGUCUUGCCAUGGGAAGAAUGGUGGGAGUUUGAAACAACAAAGGAUGAUUCGAAUCCUCAGAUUGCAUUGCUUCCAUUACGUCAAGAUUUACGAGCAAAAUUUAAUGAGACAGCAGCUUGGAUUUAUGCGAAAAAAAUGAAUGGGAAGCCUUAUGGGUAUCAUAAUAUGAUUUUCAGUUGGAUCGAUACUAUAAGUAACAACUAUCCACCACCAUUGGAUGCUCACGUGGUUGCAUCUGUUAUGACUGUGUGGAACAAGCUUCAACCAGACUACGCGGCUAGCAUGUGGACAGAAGCCCUUAACAAGCGGCUGGGAACUAAGGGUCUUGAUCUACCUGAAAUCAUAGUGGAAUCAGAGAAACGUGGGAUGACAUUUGACAAAUUGCUAACAAUUCCUGAGAAAGAUAAUUGGGUCUAUACUGAUGGCCAAUCAGCAUCUUGUGUGGCCUACGUCCUCAUGAUGUACAAGGAGGCUGGACUCUUUGAACCAAUUUCCAGCUCUAUAGAAGUCACGGAGUUCACGAUAAAAGAUGCUUACAUCCUGAACUUCUUUGAAGCCAACAUGACACGGCUUCCGUCGUGGUGCAACAAAGACGACACUGUGAAGCUCCCGUUUUGCCAAAUCAAGGGCAGGUAUCGAAUGGAACUGCCAGGAUACAACACCAUGGAACCGUACGCUCACAUGAAUGAAAGGUGUGCAUCGCUGCCUCCGGACUACGUGAGGGAUGAGAACUGCUGA